RNAcentral lists this ribosomal RNA (720 nucleotides) under uncultured bacterium. RNAcentral's name for it is "bacterial SSU rRNA". It matches the Rfam family "Bacterial small subunit ribosomal RNA", at positions 55 to 764 of the family's 1533-position model. The record is from RNAcentral.
AUGCAAGUCGAGCGGCAGCACAAGGGAGUUUACUCCUGAGGUGGCGAGCGGCGGACGGGUGAGUAAUGCCUAGGGAUCUGCCCAGUCGAGGGGGAUAACAGUUGGAAACGACUGCUAAUACCGCAUACGCCCUACGGGGGAAAGGAGGGGACCUUCGGGCCUUCCGCGAUUGGAUGAACCUAGGUGGGAUUAGCUAGUUGGUGAGGUAAUGGCUCACCAAGGCGACGAUCCCUAGCUGUUCUGAGAGGAUGAUCAGCCACACUGGGACUGAGACACGGCCCAGACUCCUACGGGAGGCAGCAGUGGGGAAUAUUGCACAAUGGGGGAAACCCUGAUGCAGCCAUGCCGCGUGUGUGAAGAAGGCCUUCGGGUUGUAAAGCACUUUCAGUAGGGAGGAAAGGUUGCAGUUUAAUAAACUGUAGCUGUGACGUUACCUACAGAAGAAGGACCGGCUAACUACGUGCCAGCAGCCGCGGUAACACGUAGGGGGCGAGCGUUGUUCGGAAUCAUUGGGCGUAAAGGGCGUGCAGGCGGCCCUGCAAGUCCGGCGUGAAAUGCCCCGGCUCAACCGGGGAGACGCGCUGGAAACUGCGGGGCUGGAGUACAGGAGGGGAUGCCGGAAUUCCAGGUGUAGGGGUGAAAUCUGUAGAUAUCUGGAGGAACACCAAUGGCGAAGGCAGGCAUCUGGCCAUGUACUGACGCUGAGACGCGAAGGUGCGG